GUCUUGGUGGUAUAGGGGUUAUUAUUGCCGCCUUCCAAGCGGUAGACCCGGGUUCGAGUCCCGGCUAAGACA
Non-coding RNA from Amoeboaphelidium occidentale, 72 nucleotides. The record is from the annotation of a GenBank genome assembly. NCBI's taxonomy places the organism in Eukaryota, Fungi, Aphelidiomycota, Aphelidea.